GAAUGACAAUCGCUGAAUCCCGCUAGCGGGAACGGGGGAACCAAGUCUUUUGGGGUGAAACGCAUCAUGCGUCGGGCAAUCCUUCUGUCCGAACCCGUCAGCUAACCUCGCAAGCGUCGAAAGGGUGUCCUU
RNAcentral lists this small RNA (132 nucleotides) under Alicyclobacillus sp. RNAcentral describes it as "c-di-AMP sequence". It matches the Rfam family "c-di-AMP riboswitch aptamer (ydaO/yuaA leader)". Rfam says of the family: This family represents a conserved RNA structure found upstream of the ydaO and yuaA genes in Bacillus subtilis and related genes in other bacteria. The record is from RNAcentral. Lineage: Bacteria; Bacillati; Bacillota; Bacilli; Caryophanales; Alicyclobacillaceae.